UACGUAGGGGGCUAGCGUUGCUCGGAAUUACUGGGCGUAAAGCGCACGUAGGCGGUUUCUUAAGUCAGGGGUGAAAUCCUGGAGCUCAACUCCAGAACUGCCUUUGAUACUGAGGAGCUUGAGUCCGGGAGAGGUGAGUGGAACUGCGAGUGUAGAGGUGAAAUUCGUAGAUAUUCGCAAGAACACCAGUGGCGAAGGCGGCUCCCUGGCCCGGUACUGACGCUGAGGUGCGAAAGCGUGGGGAGCAAACAGG
RNAcentral lists this ribosomal RNA (253 nucleotides) under uncultured bacterium. RNAcentral's name for it is "partial 16S ribosomal RNA". It matches the Rfam family "Bacterial small subunit ribosomal RNA", at positions 524 to 776 of the family's 1533-position model. The record is from RNAcentral.